This is a non-coding RNA of Oryza punctata, 151 nucleotides long. The record is from Rfam. NCBI's taxonomy places the organism in Eukaryota, Viridiplantae, Streptophyta, Magnoliopsida, Poales, Poaceae.
GUUGGGAAGAGGAAGAAAAAGAGCAUCUAAGAGCAUUAGGCAUGGGAACAUGGAGGAAAGCCUCAGCCAUUAUUUCCCUCUAUGUUCCUGUGUUUUCCCAGUGCCUCCCAUGCCUAUUGUUCUCAGGUGUUCCAUCCUCUUCCUUGGCUUG